Molecule: ribosomal RNA, 1368 nt
Filed under: uncultured bacterium
Lineage: Bacteria
Description: bacterial SSU rRNA
Rfam family: Bacterial small subunit ribosomal RNA
Source: RNAcentral
GACGAACGCUGGCGGCGUGCCUAAUACAUGCAAGUAGAACGCUGAAGAGAGGAGCUUGCUCUUCUUGGAUGAGUUGCGAACGGGUGAGUAACGCGUAGGUAACCUGCCUUGUAGCGGGGGAUAACUAUUGGAAACGAUAGCUAAUACCGCAUAACAAUGGAUGACACAUGUCAUUUAUUUGAAAGGGGCAAUUGCUCCACUACAAGAUGGACCUGCGUUGUAUUAGCUAGUAGGUGAGGUAAUGGCUCACCUAGGCGACGAUACAUAGCCGACCUGAGAGGGUGAUCGGCCACACUGGGACUGAGACACGGCCCAGACUCCUACGGGAGGCAGCAGUAGGGAAUCUUCGGCAAUGGGGGCAACCCUGACCGAGCAACGCCGCGUGAGUGAAGAAGGUUUUCGGAUCGUAAAGCUCUGUUGUAAGUCAAGAACGGGUGUGACAGUGGAAAGUUCACACUGUGACGGUAGCUUACCAGAAAGGGACGGCUAACUACGUGCCAGCAGCCGCGGUAAUACGUAGGUCCCGAGCGUUGUCCGGAUUUAUUGCGCGUAAAACGAGCGCAGCGGUUUGAUAAGUCUGAAGUUAAAGGCUGUGGCUCAACCAUAGUUCGCUUUGGAAACUGUCAAACUUGAGUGCAGAAGGGGAGAGUGGAAUUCCAUGUGUAGCGGUGAAAUGCGUAGAUAUAUGGAGGAACACCGGUGGCGAAAGCGGCUCUCUGGUCUGUAACUGACGCUGAGGCUCGAAAGCGUGGGGAGCGAACAGGAUUAGAUACCCUGGUAGUCCACGCCGUAAACGAUGAGUGCUAGGUGUUGGAUCCUUUCCGGGAUUCAGUGCCGCAGCUAACGCAUUAAGCACUCCGCCUGGGGAGUACGACCGCAAGGUUGAAACUCAAAGGAAUUGACGGGGGCCCGCACAAGCGGUGGAGCAUGUGGUUUAAUUCGAAGCAACGCGAAGAACCUUACCAGGUCUUGACAUCCCGAUGCUAUUUCUAGAGAUAGAAAGUUACUUCGGUACAUCGGUGACAGGUGGUGCAUGGUUGUCGUCAGCUCGUGUCGUGAGAUGUUGGGUUAAGUCCCGCAACGAGCGCAACCCCUAUUGUUAGUUGCCAUCAUUCAGUUGGGCACUCUAGCGAGACUGCCGGUAAUAAACCGGAGGAAGGUGGGGAUGACGUCAAAUUAUCAUGCCCCUUAUGACCUGGGCUACACACGUGCUACAAUGGUUGGUACAACGAGUUGCGAGUCGGUGACGGCGAGCUAAUCUCUUAAAGCCAAUCUCAGUUCGGAUUGUAGGCUGCAACUCGCCUACAUGAAGUCGGAAUCGCUAGUAAUCGCGGAUCAGCACGCCGCGGUGAAUACGUUCCCGGGCCU